RNAcentral lists this ribosomal RNA (1318 nucleotides) under uncultured Alphaproteobacteria bacterium. RNAcentral's name for it is "uncultured alpha proteobacterium 16S ribosomal RNA". It matches the Rfam family "Bacterial small subunit ribosomal RNA", at positions 33 to 1398 of the family's 1533-position model. Lineage: Bacteria; Pseudomonadati; Pseudomonadota; Alphaproteobacteria. The record is from RNAcentral.
ACGCUGGCGGCACGCCUAACACAUGCAAGUCGAACGAAGUAGCAAUACUUAGUGGCAGACGGGUGAGUAACAUGUAGGUAUCUGCCCUUUGGCCUGGAAUAACACGAGGAAACUUGUGCUAAUACCGGAUAAGUCUUUACGGAGAAAGCUUUAUGCACCAUUGGAUGAGCCUGCACUUGAUUAGUUUGUUGGUGGGGUAAUGGCCUACCAAGACUGUGAUCAAUAGCUGAUUUGAGAGGAUGAUCAGCCACAUUGGGACUGAGACACGGCCCAAACUCCUACGGGAGGCAGCAGUGGGGAAUCUUGCACAAUGGAGGAAACUCUGAUGCAGCGAUGCCGCGUGAGUGAAGAAGGCCCUUGGGUUGUAAAGCUCUUUCGUCGGGGAAGAAAAUGACUGUACCCGAAUAAGAAGGUCCGGCUAACUUCGUGCCAGCAGCCGCGGUAAUACGAAGGGACCUAGCGUAGUUCGGAAUUACUGGGCUUAAAGAGUUCGUAGGUGGUUGAAAAAGUUAGUGGUGAAAUCCCAGAGCUUAACUCUGGAACUGCCAUUAAAACUUUUCAGCUAGAGUAUGAUAGAGGAAAGCAGAAUUUCUAGUGUAGAGGUGAAAUUCGUAGAUAUUAGAAAGAAUACCGAUUGCGAAGGCAGCUUUCUGGAUCAUUACUGACACUGAGGAACGAAAGCAUGGGUAGCGAAGAGGAUUAGAUACCCUCGUAGUCCAUGCCGUAAACGAUGUGUGUUAGACGUUGGAAAUUUAUUUUCAGUGUCGCAGGGAAACCGAUAAACACACCGCCUGGGGAGUACGACCGCAAGGUUAAAACUCAAAUGAAUUGACGGGGACCCGCACAAGUAGUGGAGCAUGUGGUUUAAUUCGAAGAUACGCGCAGAACCUUACCAACACUUGACAUGUUCGUCGCGACUCUAAGAGAUUAGAGUUUUCGGUUCGGCCGGACGAAACACAGGUGCUGCAUGGCUGUCGUCAGCUCGUGUCGUGAGAUGUUGGGUUAAGUCCCGCAACGAGCGCAACCCUCACUUUUAGUUGCCAUCAUUAAGUUGGGCACUCUGAAAGAACUGCCAGUGAUAAGCUGGAGGAAGGUGGGGAUGACGUCAAGUCCUCAUGGCCCUUACGUGUUGGGCUACACACGUGCUACAAUGGUAUCUACAACAGGAAGCAAGACUGCGAAGUUAAGCAAAUCCCUAAAAGAUACCUCAGUUCGGAUUGCACUCUGCAACUCGAGUGCAUGAAGCUGGAAUUACUAGUAAUCGUGGAUCAGCGUGCCACGGUGAAUGCGUUCCCGGGUCUUGUACACACCGCCCGUC